GUUCCGUAGGUGAACCUGCGGAAGGAUCAUUGUCGAAACCUGCCCAGCAGAACGACCCGCGAACUUGUAUAAACAACUGGGGGCGGGGGGCGUUCUCGCCCCGUGCCCCCGAACGGCGGGGAGACACUCGUGCCUUCUUGCCGAACAACGAACCCCGGCGCGGUCUGCGCCAAGGAACUUCAACUAAAGAGUGCCUCCGGUCGCCUCGGAAACGGCGUGCGUGCCGGAGGCGAAUCUUGUGCAAAACCAUAACGACUCUCGGCAACGGAUAUCUCGGCUCUC
This 282-nucleotide unclassified non-coding RNA is filed under the name plant metagenome. RNAcentral's name for it is "partial contains small subunit ribosomal RNA, internal transcribed spacer 1, and 5.8S ribosomal RNA". The record is from RNAcentral.